CGGGGGGGGCAAGCGUUGUUCGGAAUUACUGGGCGUAAAGGGCUCGUAGGUGGCCAACUAAGUCAGACGUGAAAUCCCCAGGCUUAACCUGGGAACUGCGUCUGAUACUGGAUGGCUUGAAUUCGGGAGAGGGAUGCAGAAUUCCAGGUGUAGCGGUGAAAUGCGUAGAUAUCUGGAGGAAUACCGGUGGCGAAGGCGGCAUCCUGGACCGAGAUUGACACUGAUGAGCGAAAGCCAGGGGAGCAAACGGGAUUAGAUACCCCGGUAGUCCUGGCCUAAACGAUGAAUGCUUGGUGUGACGGGUAUCGAUCCCUGUCGUGCCGAAGCUAACGCAUUAAGCAUUACCGCCUGGGGAGUACGGUCGGCAAGGCUG
Molecule: ribosomal RNA, 373 nt
Filed under: uncultured organism
Description: bacterial SSU rRNA
Rfam family: Bacterial small subunit ribosomal RNA
Source: RNAcentral